This 265-nucleotide long non-coding RNA is filed under the name Marmota monax (woodchuck). Lineage: Eukaryota; Metazoa; Chordata; Mammalia; Rodentia; Sciuridae. The record is from RNAcentral.
UGGCCUCCAACUUGCAAUCCUCCUCCUCCAGUCUCCUGAGUCUCUGGGACUACUGCACCUGCCUCUGGAGAGGACCUUGACCCAGAGAACACCACACAGGCUGGCUGGCUUCUCAGUGUUUUGUUGCAGUGAUGUGUGAAUAGCACAGACGUGGCUGCUAUAGACUCAGUGUGUCCCCUUAAAUUAUGCUGAAACUUAACCCCCAACAUGAGGGCAUUUGGGAGUGGGGCCUCUGGGAGGUGAUUAUGUCAGGAGGGUGAAGCCC